MicroRNA precursor from Nomascus leucogenys (northern white-cheeked gibbon), 52 nucleotides. It matches the Rfam family "mir-1302 microRNA precursor family". The record is from Rfam. Lineage: Eukaryota; Metazoa; Chordata; Mammalia; Primates; Hylobatidae.
UUUUUAGUAUAAAUAAGUUCCAUGCAAUAUUUGGGACAUAUUUAUACUAAAU